This is a long non-coding RNA of Manis pentadactyla (Chinese pangolin), 1912 nucleotides long. RefSeq lists it as uncharacterized. The record is from RefSeq and is a predicted model, not a curated record. Lineage: Eukaryota; Metazoa; Chordata; Mammalia; Pholidota; Manidae. The transcript is spliced from 6 exons.
CCGGGCCGGCCGGUGAAGAUGACCCUGCUGUGCGUAGGGAACAGCACCGCCGGACCGCCUGACGGCCACGAGCUACCCGUAGGGUGGCCUGGUGGGCCUCUCUGGUUUGGUGUGAAGUGGAAACUCAGACAAGUGCAAUAAGUAUGUGAAUAAUUUAGGGGAACAUAUAUGCUUGGUAUGAGACAUGGAGCUCUAAAAAGGACCAGUACUCAAGACAUUUGGGGUGAAUAGCAUUGCUCCUGGAUACACACUGCCAGGUUCUGACCUUAGUUGUGCCAUCAGCAGCUAUGUAACUCUGGUGAACUUGUCCGGGGCUGAAAUCCAUUGGCAAGACAAGGUGAAAGUGAGAUGAGAAAUGGCAAUCGACGGACAGUCUUCAUGAGUGCCAAGAAGUGCAUGCCCUCUGUAAAGCAGUGCUCUGCAGCCCUGAUAAUCAUGGUGGAGGCAGACAGCUGGCCUGAAACUGUGCUGAGAAGCCUCAAGAAAAGGACAGUGGAACAGAGGAAGAGAGCCCAAGUGGGGUCACCCCAUUUGUGCUUGCAAAGGAAAGGAAGAGGUGACAGGCAGAAAAGCCAAGAAGUUAGACUGUUCCUGUUGUAAGAAAUCCUGUUAUGCUGGAAGAAGACACAAAACAUCUGAAUCAGAGAAAAAGAACUGUUUUACUUCAAGCACAACAUUAAAAAUGUGAACAUCAGUGUUUGCGUUAAUUCUUCUUGCCCCUAAGUUCUACAGGGGUGAUGCCAAGGGGCCCACAGGUAGAUGCCACACAUGUGGUGUGUUUGUGUUGCAGUGGGGAAACAAUGAGCUUGAAGAACCCACUGCUUUUCCAGCAAGCAGCAAGCUAAGCUUGCUCUUUGUUGCAGAGGGAGAUAUUCCUUCAUCCCACAAAACUGCUCACUGCAAACAUAAUCAUGAGAAAUGGCUUGGGUAAAGAGUGGUGUGGCAGAAAGCAUGUAGGCCCAUGUGGGGAAAUGGAAGUUCCUAUGGCCGGGAUCCUCCUCACCUGAACUAAACUGAUGAUGUAACUGGCCUGCUGCUAGGCUACUGCUUCACAACCGCUGGCAAUGAGCUAUUAUUGACUAAGUCAUUAUAUAAAGAACUCCCCUGAGUGCUCUGGGUGGAGGCAAACACAGAGGUAGAUUAUGGACCUGCAGACUGCUGGGUGCAGAUGUGAUUCUAAUUCUCGAUCUACCACCAGCUGAUUGCCAGCUAGACUUAUUGACUACUAACUAACUGAAAAUAGCACAAGUGAUGAGAUGUUGCUUCUAAGAUGAGGUUAUAAAAGGACAGUGGCUUCUGUCUUAGACACCCUCUCAGGUUCUCUCACUACUCACUCUGAAGGAAUACAGCUGUCAUUUGUCAGCUGCCUGUGGAAAGUCCUUAUGGCAAGGAAAGCAUGUCUUUGGCCAAUAGUCAGCAAGGACCCGAAUCCUGCCAACAGCCAUGUGAGUGAGCUUGGAAGCAGAAUCUCCCCCAUUCAAGCCUGGAGUUGACGCAGCCCUGGCCAACACCUUGACUAUAGCCUUGUCAGAGACCUUGAUCCACAGCACCCAACUAAGCUUUGCCCAGAUUCCUAAUCCACAGAAACUGUCAGAAAAUAAAUUUGUUGUUUUAAGCCUCUGUGUUUUGGAGUAAUCAGUUAUCCAGUCAUAUAGAUAAGUAAUAUAAGCAGUCAGGGCCUUGAUUCUUGGCAUACUGAACAAUGUGCAUUGGCAUGAGAGAGUGACAGAUAACUACCUUUGGACAACAGGGUAAAGACAACCCAGGGGUAGGUAAUGCCGUCUUCCUCAAAGGAUGACAUGCUUGGUGUCUAUUAUCUAGGCAAGAGGCUGAUACUGAGACUGGAAACUAGAAUUUGCAAGGAAGCCAUUAGCUGAAAAUAACCUUACCAAUCUUAAGAGAUAGUUUUUGA